This is a long non-coding RNA of Cotesia glomerata, 722 nucleotides long. RefSeq lists it as uncharacterized. The transcript is spliced from 4 exons. Lineage: Eukaryota; Metazoa; Arthropoda; Insecta; Hymenoptera; Braconidae. The record is from RefSeq and is a predicted model, not a curated record.
UGCCUCUUCACUCCGAGGUUCUCUUCUUAUUUUAUUUUUUAUUUUUUGCUCCUCUACUGCUUGCAGUAUCUUUUAUGUCAAUUACUGCGUUCUAUAUCUGGAGUCAUGGUCAAUGUUUAUACGAUCGAUUAUUAUCUAUUUUUAUCAGCUCAUUUUAGGUGACACCAUGACAGUAUCACAACCAAAAGUUUCCAGAAUAGUUUUUCGUGUGAGCGUUUUACUUGCAAGCAAAAUUCAUGAUUACAUUAAAAUGCCUCGAACUCAAGCAGCGAAAUUAGAAAACCAGAGACUUUUUUAACGUUUGGGAUUUGGUAAUGGAGCAAUUGGAAUACCCGGGGUUGAUGGAGCAAUUGGUUGUACUCAUAUCCGAUUAGUUCAUACAAGGUUUCCAAAUAUUAAUGAAAUCUACCGAAAUCGAGAGGUUUAUUUUUCUCUGAAUGUACAAACGAUUGUUGGCCCACGAAUGGAAUUUUUAGACAUCGUCCCAGAAUGGCCUGGUAGUGCUGAUGAUAGUCGAAUUUUUCAAAAUUCUCGAAUUUACAAGAGAUAUUCUGAACGUGAGCUAACUGGUAUACUUGUCGGUAAUGCUGGAUAUCCAUGUCUACCUUUUCUAAUGACGCCCGUUGCCAAUCCAGUUACAGAUUAACAAAUAGCCUAUAAUAAUAUUCAGAGUAGAACUCGAAUAAUAGUUGAAAGAACUUACAGUGUUUGGAAGCGAAGAU